UACGGAGGAUGCGAGCGUUAUCCGGAUUUAUUGGGUUUAAAGGGUGCGCAGGCGGAAUGUCAAGUCAGCGGUAAAAUUUCGGGGCUCAACCCCGUCGUGCCGUUGGAACUGGCGUUCUUGAGUGAGCGAGAAGUAUGCGGAAUGCGUGGUGUAGCGGUGAAAUGCGUAGAUAUUAGGAGGAACACCAGUGGCGAAGGCGGUCUGCUGGACAGCAACUGACGCUGAGGCGCGAAAGCGUGGGGAGCAAACAGG
RNAcentral lists this ribosomal RNA (252 nucleotides) under uncultured Bacteroidales bacterium. RNAcentral's name for it is "partial 16S ribosomal RNA". It matches the Rfam family "Bacterial small subunit ribosomal RNA", at positions 524 to 776 of the family's 1533-position model. The record is from RNAcentral. Lineage: Bacteria; Pseudomonadati; Bacteroidota; Bacteroidia; Bacteroidales.